This 2990-nucleotide long non-coding RNA is filed under the name Homo sapiens (human). RNAcentral's name for it is "novel transcript". The record is from RNAcentral. Lineage: Eukaryota; Metazoa; Chordata; Mammalia; Primates; Hominidae.
AAUACUCAAAGGAAAUUGGCUUUUCUCCUGAAAGAGAUGGAUUCAUUAAGGAAAUUUAGAUUGUGACUUCAAUGUUCGUUUUCAUGAACAUCACUGUUCACUAAAAUCAAAACGAGAAAUAUGUUUGGAGAAGGCGUUAACUAGAUUAGUAAAUGUUGAUUCUUAUUAGCUUAUCAGCUAAAAUAUUGCAUAGUGGCAAGGAAGAGCAAAUAGCUUGGCUGGAAUGUAGGUUUCAUUUAUAUCAGGAAAAUCAGGCUGUGGAGUCUAGAAACUCCUACGUAGGUUUUACCUAGGAGUGUGACUAAUGGAAUAGAGAAGUUUAAUAGCACCAGCACAUUUCAGAAGGCUGCUGAAUAGUAGACAGUUGCAAAUACAUUAUAUUGAGGGAUCUGCUAACAGGAUGUACUCUGAACAAGAAAACAUUGCAGAAACAAUCUACAUGUAUAUCAUAGCUCCAGGAUUACUGUUCAGGGGGUCAUUUAUGUUUAUAACCUUCAAAAAUUCAAAGCUCUUACGUUAUUUGAUCAUGCUUAUUUUCAUGGGAAUCAGUGCUUUUAUUCCUAUUUAAAUGGCUAAAGUUGUUAUGCAUUGGGAGAUGGGUUUCUUAUUCUGCCUUUACGUUAUAAAAACAACAAAAUGAUAUAUUUGUUGUCUUCUCAAGUAUUUAUCCUUAUCCCUUAAAAUUAACAUCUGCCAAAUAAUUUUACCAAAGAAAAACAGGCAAAUCCAGAAUAUCUUCUUAUCUAGUGAAGGCCAUUGCUUAAAUAUGUCCACUCCAUAAAUCAAGUAAAUAACAACCCCAAGAUAUUUUCUUUUUUCACACUGAAUGCAUCCUGAAAACACGAAAUUAGGUACACCCUUUGUUGUUCUCAUAUACUGUUUAUGUGACACAUAUAAGUGAAAAUGGAUUAUGCUCUUAUAUACACAUUAAUCUCAAAAAAGACUUUUGUGCUUUUAGAAUUCACAGGCAAUGUGCAAAUUCUUGAUGAGCAUGUCUACAUUUUCUACUUAUUUUUGUGGUUGUAGUUUUGAGAUGGAGUCUAGCUCUGUCCCCUGGGCUGGAGUGCAAUGGUGCGAUCAUAGCUCACUUCAGUCUCAAAAUCCUGGGCUCAAGAGAUUGUCCCACCUCAGCCUACCGAGCAGCUAGAACCGCAGGUGCAUGUCACCAUGUCCAGCUAAUUUUUAUUUUUACUUUUAUUUUUUGUAGAGAUGUGGUCUCCCUGUAUUGCCCAGUCUGGCCUAGAACUCCUGGCCUCAACUGAUCCUCCUGACUCAGUCUCUCAAAGUGCUGGGAUUACAGGCAUGAGCCACCACACUGGCAAAUGUCUACAUUUUUUAAAACAAAUUAAACAUAAAGAGCUCAUAAAGAAUAGUCAAAGUUUAUUUGUGGAAAAAUAUAAGACUGAUCUAUAAGCUUUUAAUUCCACUAUAAUUUGUGAAUGUAAACCUCUCUUUAAGAUAAAAGCAGAUUCUAGCAUCAUGAGGUACCUGAGGGCUCUAGUUAGUUACCAAGAUGGGAAAUGUGCCUGGGGCUUUCUGUAAUUGCAUUUCCACCUUGAUUUGAUAGGGUUGAUUUGGCAAACUAGCAUUUUCUCUCUAUCUGUGUACUUCCACCAUGCUCCAGCUCAGUGAUUUUCUAAUGUUGGUGGGCAGAGAAUCAAGUAGAGACUUAGUCAACUUGGGCCCCUCUCCAGAGACCUGCCUCAGUAGAACUAGGCUGGGGUCCAAGGAAACUAUUUUUAACAAGAACCCCUUAGUAACUUUUUCUAACCUAAGAACGCUUCUACCUACAGUAUUGGCACUGCUGGAUAGAGUGGCCGGUGUGAGUCAAAUGAGGGUGCAUGCUCUAAAUUCUAAACCAGUAUCAAGAUUCAUCUGUGGAGAAUAUAGUGUUAAAUAAUGUUAUUUGUGAUUAAGCAUUAGCGUGUAUAGAAUUAAGUCAUGAACACUUUUCAUAGAAUGCAAACAAUGUAUACCCCACAUGACAUUAAAAAUCUAUGUCAUCAUUGUCAUCAUCAAAAUUACUAUUUGACAAACUCUUUUAAGAACGUGUGUACAUACACACCAUUUGCAAGCAACAAAAGUGACAGAGGGAAAACGCUUCACUCAAGAUACACAGAACGAGGCCCAUAUGGAGAAAUGGACAGAAGUUACUGACAAAUAAAAUAAAAGAUUUGAACAGUAAGAAAAAUCUGCCUGUGUCUACACAGAAAGUUGGCUAUUAUAAAGAUGAAAAUUCUCCCUAAAUCAAGUUACAUAUUCCUGAAAACAAAACGUGAUUAUUUUUCCUGAAAGAAACUAUCCUCCAAAACAGAGGGAGCCAUUUUAUAUUUGACUUCUUACAAAAUCUCUCAUAACGUGGGGGCCUCUCUCUAUUUUAUUUCAAACUUCAUUUUGGGAAGACACAAAGGCUCUUGAAAUGAGAGCCACCAAUGUUUGUUUUAGAUGCUUAUAAAGCUUACCUCAUGGAGCUGUUAACAUAGCAAAAUAAAUUUUUUAACAAAGGAAAAUUUGGUAACUAUUUCUGGGGUAAAGAUUUUACAAUAGCAAGUAUUAUCACUAGACAUUACUUUAAAUGUGGAUUUUUUUAAAUCAUGGUAGAAAACAAUAUAAAAAGUGUUCAUGUGGCAGUUGUUAAGAAUACACAUCUUCAGGGUUUUUUAAUAUAAAAAGGGGAAAGAACAGUCUCAUUAUUAUAUGCAUAGUUUCUCUGAUUUGGUACAAAAUUUCCCAGUGAUGUCAUUGUGGAAUGAUCCAAGUGUUGCCUGUCAGCAGAGAUAGGAGUGAAGUUGAUGAUGAUGGUUAGAUGGCCUCACAAGGGACUCUAGUGAUAGUAAAGGUUCCAGUGGCAAACACACAAGUGAAAAGUUUGAAUAUAGUUUCAUAAUGUUUGAGAGUGUAAAAAAUGCAUUUUUAAAUUAAUGCAUUACUUUCUGUACUAUUUUAAAUAAGUGUGUAUCUAAAUAAACACAUAAAAUGUUAUGAGUAAA